RNA transcript from Crotalus tigris (Tiger rattlesnake), 7418 nucleotides. It is a transcript of the gene named mitochondrial ribosomal protein S6, with no coding region annotated. The record is from RefSeq and is a predicted model, not a curated record. Lineage: Eukaryota; Metazoa; Chordata; Lepidosauria; Squamata; Viperidae. The transcript has 3 exons.
UCAAGUCAGCCAAACUUGCCACGCUCGUCCUGGACUAGGUUCUCCCAGUCUCGACUUGAUCUUGCCCAGGACAGAUGUGCAAGUUUGGCUCAGGCAGGUAGAUAAAGUCCAUUGGUGGAUUUUCCAUUAUCUAAUUGUUAUAAAAGUGCAGUUUCCUGGGCAGUGCUGGGACCAGCGCUGCUCCAGUUGACUAAUCACUCACCUGAUUCCCAGUGGGAUUUAGAUAAAAACAGAGGCUUCCGUUUCUCCCUUCCUCCCUGCUAACAGCGCUGGGUUCAGUGCUGUUCUAAUUCCCCUUUCCAAUUUCCUUUUGCUUCCCUGCUGUUGGAGCUUGUGGCUGCAGCUUAGGCAACCCCCCAACGGCCAGAUCGAGCACAGCUGAACAGCGGGUAGCUAUAUAAAUAGCUCAAACUUUUAUGGGAGGCUUCUCGUCCUCCAGAAUCAAUGCCAGCCAACUGAGAGGCUCUUUUCAGCACUCCCAUUCACCCACAGUGUUUUUAAGCCUCGGGGAACUGAUUUCUUAAUUAGUAAGACUUGGGAGUUGGAGCGCCACCGCCAUCUUGCAGACCGCGUGGCUGAUGAAGGUUGCCUUUGUGGGGAAAAGGGAGCAGGGGGAGAGGAUUUUUCCUCUUUAUCAGCUGUUUAUUGGUCUUUUGGGGGUUUCAUUGUCAUGAGGCUCACUUCUGUUUCUUCCCUAAUCCGUGGGGCUGAAGCUUUAAUUUCAUUAUGGCAGGAAGCCUGGCUAGGCAGCGGCCACCAUUUUGAACAGCCCUCAUGAGCCUUAAUUCGAGGCCCUGCAGGCCUUUUUAACUGUGGCCUCUUGUGGCUUCAUUCCUCGUUCAUUUUCUUUGAUCAUCCUCCUUUUAUUUUUCAAUUUUCUAAUCUUAUAUUUUGAUUUAAUUUAAUAAUUAUUCUUGCAGACCAAGGCAUCGGGCUCAUUUUGGGCCAAUCUGGUGUCUCCCUACCUGGUCACCAUCUGGUGAGCUAUAUAUCCGUAGUGGUCUCACGCAAGGAUAUUUCUGUUGCCCUCUCCCACAGCUCUGCCUGUUGCUCAUUGUUUGCCAAUUUUAUAUUGCUGGCCUGGCAAUAUUGUGUGCCUCACGAGCAGGCCGGCUGUUACUACCUUGGUGAUGUUACAGCAGCUGUAAACAAAACCGGUCUUUUGGAUACCACCGGUCUAAUGACCGGGGGGGGGGGGCAGGGCGAUAGUUAUCACCCACUGCCCUUGCUCCUUAACUGCCAAUUGAUCCUUGCCAGGGGUACCCUUUAGUGCACCUGAAGAUUAUUUACACCAGCAUGGAGGAAAACACGGCCUCCAAGUCCAAGGACGCCUCCCCUUCUUCGGGCCGGAAAUGGCACAGGUUCUCCAACCAGGAGGCUGCUGGUAGGAUCUCAGCCAAGGCCAAGGCUGUCUCUGGGAGGAAAACCUCCAAAUUUGCGGAGAAACAGGUCAGCAGGAGACAUCAGGCCUUGGAGAAAGAGUUUUCCAAGGCUCAGAAACAGGCCAGGGCCAAGGCUAUACAGCCUGAGGCCCCUCUUUUCAAUUUGCCACUGGGCCCCUCUACUUCUGCUCAGGAAGUCUGGUCACCAGCUUCUCCCGCUCCAUCUGGACCGGAAUUCGGUACACAAACAUACCAAUCUUUGCCACGGGAUCAACGGCCGGCUCCAGAGACGACUUUCAUCCCUAUGGCUGCGGGGCUCAGAGUAGAUCAGUCUGAUUUCCUUUCUCUUGAGGAUCGUCUCCAGUCUCUGGUUACUCAGGCGGUGGAACAGGCUCUUGCGGCCAGGUCGCCACAGGUACACAGACGAUUCUCCGCUCUCUCUUCUGCCUUCCCAUUCGGCCCAACAGAGUGGCCACGGACCUCCUUCUCCAUCCCAUUCCUCAUAUAGCGGAGUUUCAUCCCUCCCAGAGGAGGAUCAGGCUCUGGAUGCCUUGUGGUCAGAGGAAGAGGUUUCCUCUCUGGACCCGCCUCCAUUCGUUGGUCUAUUUAAUCCAUCUCUUUUUCUACCCUUGCUUCGUAAGGCUAGCGCUGUGGGACCUAAUCGUUCUGCUCCAGCGGCAACCACCCCUGAUUCAGACACAGACCCUGUCUUCAUCGAACUGGUAGUAACUCAACAUCAUGUACCCUGUCCGGCCUUAUUUCUCAAUGCAGUCAGGAAACAGUGGGUGUCUCCUGGUACCUUUCCCCUCCCUAGUGGGAACGAUAAAAAACUGUUUAGUGUGGCCUCAGACUUAGUGGAAGUGCCUACGGUGGAUGAGCCCUUGUCUCACCUUUUUUCCCCUACGACAAUCUCAGGGGAUAUGUCUGAGGCCUUAAAAACGGAGGACCGCAGAUCGGAACUGGCAUUUAGGAGAACACAUCAGGUGGCAACAUCUAUCAGGGCUGCUACUUCAGUUUUGUUCUUUACUAAAUCGGCUCUCAUUUGUCUUCAUCAGCUCCAGGUCAGGAUUCCCCCGGAGGAUGUUCGUACAAACCAGGACCUGAGCAAGUUAGUGGCCGUAAUGGAGUGCGCUGCCAGGUUCUCCUCCCCGGACCAUGGCUUUCAACGUAACAGCACGUCGUAUGCUAUGGUUAAGGCACUGGCAUGCUGACGUCAAAUCCAAAUGGCGCCUGGCAGCAGCUCCGACCAGGGUAGUAAGUUAUUUGGGGCUGCCUUAGACCCGUUUCUAACUGAAAAUAAGGACAAAAGGAAGAUACUUUUCCACCUUACUAAAUGGGCCGACAGAUGAACCAAUCCCUACGUCCGUCGACAGUCCUUUCGGUCUGGAACUACCCUCCCUAAUACACAUCCUCCCCGUCCAUUCAUGGCCAGGUAGGACCACCCAGUUGACAGACCGGCUUCCAGACCCAGGCAACAGUUUCAGGGCAAACGGCCCUUUCGAGGGGGAGGCCGGCCAUUCCUCAGAAAGUGACUCUCAAGUGGACCCUCCCAUAGGGGGCAGGCUGUCCCUUUUUGCCCACCAGUGGGAGGUCACCACCACAGACACCUGGAUCCUAAACACCAUUCAUUACGGUCUAUCUCAAAUUCGUUUCCAGCCCACCAAGGAGGUUCAUUUCUUGUCCCCAAUCAAACAAUCCAGUAAAGAGAGGCCUCAUUCAGGAGGCCAUCCGUCACCUAUUGGACAUAAGGGCCACAGAACCGGUACCACCAGACCAAAGGGGUUGGGGAUUCUACUCCAUCCUCUUUGUAGUCCCCAAGACUUCGGGAGGUUGGAGAGCGAUCCUGGACCUCAAAGGUCUAAAUUUCCAUCUUGCAUACCGAAAGUUCAAGAUGCAAACACUUCAGUCCAUCUUGGGCAGCAUCAGAAGGGGGGACUUCCUGACAUCCAUAGACCUCACGGAGGCGUACCUUCACAUUCCCAUCCUUCCCAAUCACCGUUGGUUUCUCAGAUUCAAUUAUAUGGGACAUCAUUAUCAAUACAGGGCACUUCCGUUCGGCCUGUCUUUGGCUCCAAGAGUGUUUACCAAGAUCCUGGCGGUCAUCGCCGCCCACCUGAGACUGGCGCCGGUUCAGGUACAAUGUUACCUGGGCAACAUUCUAAUCCAAUCGUCUGCUCCAGCCACAAUCAGACCUCAGGCAGGUGAUUGAGGUCCUCCAGAACCAUGGGUUCUUGGUAAACUUCAAGAAAAGCCAGAUGGUCCCUUUGACCAGACUGUUACACUUAGGAGCCUUUAUAGACACUGCAGAAUGCCGGGUCUAUCUGUCCCAAGAGCGCAGGGACAGCAUACAGAACUUGGUCCUCAAAGUCUGCAGAGACAGGACACUGUCACUUGUCAGUCUCUCUCAAUUACUGGGGAAAAUGAUAUCGUGCCUAGUGAUUGUUCUCUGGGCCAAAUUACGCUCAAGGUCCCUUCAGUGGUUUCUGCUUCCCUAUCAAAGGCUGGGCACCAGCACAUCCAACCGAAGGGUAAGGGUUCCUCCACAAGUCUUGAGUUCGCUCAGAUGGUGGCUCUGAGCGAACUCAAGGGUCCUUCUUCAAGGAACCCAUUCGGCUUACCAUCAUGACAGAUGCCAGUCUGUUCGGUUGGGGAGUGCGUCUUCAGUCACAGUGGGCCCAGGGACGAUGGUCUCGAUCAGACUUGAGGCACAACAUCAACUGGUUGGAGCUCAGAGCCAUACAUCUGGCUCUCCAUCACUUCCGCAACAGGGUUGCGAGACAACACGUACUGGUCCUCACAGACAACGUGGCGGCAAAGGCCCAUGUGAACCAGCAGGGGGGUACCCAAUCCCAUGCCCUCAUGACCGAGGCCCAAUUGUUGGGCUCCUGGGCAGAGACCAACCUUGCCUCAAUCAGGGCUGACCAUAUUUCAGGGGAGGCAAACAGACAAGCAGGUCAACAAUGGACCACUCAGAAUGGCGUCUGCACCCGGACAUCUUCAGGGAGAUCUCCGACAGAUUUGGUCUAUCAAUCAUAGACCUGUUCACUUCUCCGGCAAACGCACAAUUGCCUAGGUUCUUCUCCCGUUUCCCGUCUCCGGGGGCAGAGGAAGUGGAUGCUCUCCGGGUUCCAUGUCCGGAGGGCCUUUUCUAUGCCUUUCCUCCUCUUCCCCUUCUUCCGGCGGUCAUCCGCAAACUUCUACAAGAGAGGGCGGAGGUUCUUCUUGUGGCCUCAUACUGGCCAAGGAGACCAUGGUUUGCCGACCUCGUGAGCCUUUCCCUGUCUCAUCCUUGGAGGAUCCCUCCGGGUUGUGUCUUGCUGAACCAGGGGACUCUGAGUCACCCGGAACCCCAAUGGCUCCAGUUGGCCGUUUGGCACUUGAGCGCAGGAUCCUUUCCUGGGAGUCCUGCUCACCAGGGGUCAUUUCCAUAAUCCAGGCUUCUAGAAGACCGGCUACCAACCACAUCUACGAUGCCACGUGGAAAGAUUUUUGUAGGUGGUGCUCCAAACACAACCUGUCUUUUUCAAAUUUGACUAUUCCAAAUAUUCUGGAUUUUCUUCUAGAGGGCUUGAACAGGGGCGUGGUGCUCAAUACAUUACACAGACAGGUGGCAGUUCUUUCCACAUUGCUUGCCUGUGACUCUGCUGCAUCUCUGGGUCAACAUCCUUUGAUCUGCUCAUUUAUCAAGGGUGCAACUAACACUAGGCCCCCUGUCGUGCAUAGAUACCCUUCGUGGGAAUUGCCACGGGUUCUGCAAGCUGUUACUAGGGCUUCUUUCGAACCUCUCAGGUCGUGUGACAUGAGAGCAUUGUCUCUCAAGGUUGCCUUCCUGGUAGCUAUAACUUCAGCUUGGCGAAUUUCUAAGCUGGAGGCUCUUUCAGUUAGGGAUGACUUAUGUAUCUUUCAUCGGGACAGGGUUGUUCUUCGCCUAGACCCUACCUUUGUACCUAAGGUUAACACUCUGUUCCACAGGGCUCAGGAAAUCGUGCUUCCCGAUUUUUGUCCUAAUCCUUCUCACAAUCUGGAACAGCAAUGACAUUCUUUGGACAUUUGCAGGGCACUCCGUUGUUACAUCAACCGGACGGCCGCUUUCCGCAGCUCUGAGGCACUUUUCGUUUCGUUCCACCCUUCCAAGGGUCGGAAGGUUUCGGCUUCCACGAUUGGCAGGUGGAUAAGAGUUUGCAUUGCGGGGGCGUACCAGUCCGGGUCCUUGCCAGUUCCACAACGGAUCAUAGCUCACUCUACGCGCAGUGCAGCCACUUUUGCUGCUUGGUCAGCUCAAGCUUUCAUUGAGGACGUGUGGAGGGCGGCCACAUGGUCUUCACCCUCACCGUUCAUAUGGUAUUAUAAGCUGGACAGGUACGCAUCUGCAGAAACCUCCUUUGGCAGGAGGGUUCUUCAACAGAUCGUACCUCGAGACGUUCCAAACUUGGCUGCUUCCCUCCCUCAGGGACAGUAGGCUUUUGGAAUGUCCCAUUAGUGGAUUCUCCAUCUCCUGUGCUGGAGAAGGGGCAUUGUCUUACCUGAACACCUUUUCUCAGCACGGAGAUGGAGAAUGCACUUCCUCCCUCUUUUGGUCCUUCGGCCUAGGGUUAACGUCUAUGAGCCAAUACGUCUUGUUGUCAGUAAGUGGCUUCGCCCUUGUCGAGACUGGGAGAACCUAGUCCAGGACGGGCAUGGCCAGUUUGGCUGACUUGAUCUGAUUGGGCAGGAGGACAGAGUUAACCCAUUCGUGGAUUCUCCAUCUCCGUGCUGAGAAAAGACAUUCAGGUAAGACAAUGCCCCUUCUAAUAACAGUUGGGGAGUAGAAGCUUGUGGAAAACGCUAUGCCUUAUUAUCAGAGAUCAUAGAAUCAGUUGGAGAAGUUAUGGAGACCAACCUGCUCUGAAGCCAUUCCAUUGAUGAGAAAAAUGAUAUCCUAAUAUGUGGAAUUGAGUUUAGCUUUUUAAAUAGGAUAGGCUACUUUCCUUGGUGGUGAUGUCCCUGGAGAGCUGAACCUAAAAUUUUCAGCACCUGUUUAUAUUUUUAGGGAUUGAGAAUUAACAGAAAAUAAUUCUGGAUAGCUUACUGAACCAAUAUUUUAAUGGAAUCAUUUGUCUGCUUCAAUUCUGUGUGUUUGUGUUUUAUUUUCUGAAAUGCAAAACAAGAAAACUGGUCUUGAAUGCAUUGGAUGUUUACUGGUAAGUACCUGACUUUAAAUUAAAUCCAAUAUAUUAUCUGCAGCCAGGAUAGCACCUGAAAAGUAUGGAUAACAUGGUCAUUUUCUGAGAUAGUAUACUACCCUAGACAGUUUCUUGUACCACCUGUGAUCUCCAGAUGGAAUAAUUUAAUUUGGAUUACCAGGGCAUGUACUGCCAAAGUCAGGCUUUUUCAUCCAUAAAUUGCUAUAUUGGACUCACUAUCUGAAGCUAUGCAUAGACUCUCCCUACUGAGGCUAUAGGUGUGUUCAGUGAUCAUUUGGUAUCCAAGAGAAGCCAUAUAUCCUGUACUUCGCUCUAUAGGGCAAGUGUCACCUCAUGUAAUACUAGGUUAAGGACAGUUUCUGGAUAGAACUGCUCAGAGAUGAUGACCUUCCAGGCUAAUGUUUAUCUUUCUGUGAUUCAUCUUCAGGCAGCUGGCCUUCAUCUGGUCCUUCACAGCCCACAAGCAUUCUUCUGUUGAUUUGGAUCAGAUGAAAAAGACAAAAUUAAGAGGCAUUUGUAAAUCUCAUUCCAACACUCUGGACAGCCUUUCCCAAUGGCUUCAUACAGGCUUCAGCACAAUGGAAGAUCAGACCAAAAGCAAUGGAAUUCCCUGCAUGAUUGCCAUGCCAGUUAAAAGUAAUUGCCAUUGACUUGAUACAUAUUAUUUUGAAAUAUCUACCUUCUACAAUACAUGGACAUUGACAGUUGAACAAUCCAGAGACAGCUGCAACACUGAGACGCACAGUGGAAGCUUUGCUGGAAAGAGGAGCAGUGGUGAGGAAUUUGGAAAACUUGGGAGAAAGAACGCUGCCGUAUAAGAUAGUAAAGCACGAUGAGCAUCACAACAGAGGAG